Molecule: unclassified non-coding RNA, 263 nt
Filed under: plant metagenome
Description: partial contains small subunit ribosomal RNA, internal transcribed spacer 1, and 5.8S ribosomal RNA
Source: RNAcentral
UUUCCGUAGGUGAACCUGCGGAAGGAUCAUUAUUGUAUAACCGAGGUGCGAGGGCUGUCGCUGACCCGAAAGGUCGUGCACGCCCGAGUGCCCUCACACACAUCCACCUCACCCCUAUGUGCACCACCGCGGGGGUCCCCCUUUGGCUUGUUCGGAGGGGGGCUUACGUUUUCACACAAACUUUGUAUGCAGUGUAGAAUGUAUUUUUUGUUUUUGCGAUCACGCAAUCAAUACAACUUUCAACAACGGAUCUCUUGGCUCUC